UGGACUGCGCAGCUUACGCGACACUUUAGUACGUGAAGAGAGGUGUUAAAUGUUGUUUCGGUCGAUCUGUCAGAAACAAACAUUUCAUCGAUCUGCGUAACGUUUUGAUUGAAAAGCUCAGUGAAUUUAGUGUUAAUCGGAUUUUCUAAUUUAUCAAGCAAUCGCAAGAAUAACAGCGAUCAGUGACCAAUGGGGAAAGAUUACUAUAAAAUAUUAGGCAUAAGCAAAAAUGCCAGUGAUGAUGAUAUUAAAAAGGCUUACAGAAAGUUAGCUUUAAAGUAUCAUCCUGAUAAAAAUAGGAGUGCUGGGGCAGAAGAAAAAUUUAAGGAAAUAGCAGAAGCUUAUGAGGUACUUUCUGAUGCUAAGAAGAGGGAAGUCUAUGACAAAUUUGGAGAGGAAGGACUGAAAGGAGGAGCUGGAUCUGCAGGAGGAGGUGGUGGUGGUACAACAUAUACAUACCAUGGAGAUCCAAAGGCAACCUUUGCUCAAUUCUUUGGUUCUGCUAGCCCCUUCCAAGCAUUCUUUGAAUUUGGAACUCCUAUUGGAAACAGAGUGUUUAACCUUCAUGAUGAUGACAUGGACAUUGAUGAUCCACUUGGUCUGGGAAUUGGUCAUCAUCAACGUCAAGGUGGCCAAGGUGGAGCCUUUAGGUCACAUUCUUUCAACUUUGUUGGACCUAACUCAGGCAGGGGAGGCAACAAAGACCGUGCUCAAGAUCCUGCCAUAGAACAUGAUCUGUAUAUCACUUUAGAAGAAAUUCUACAUGGCUGUACGAAAAAAAUGAAAAUCUCCAGACGUGUUGUACAACCUGAUAACACUACCAGAAAGGAAGACAAAGUUCUUACAAUUAAUGUAAAACCAGGAUGGAAGGCAGGCACUAAGAUCACCUUCCAGAAAGAAGGUGACCAAGGCCGUGGAAAAGUUCCAGCUGAUAUUGUUUUCAUCAUCAGAGAUAAACCCCAUCCUCUGUUUAGAAGGGAAGGCAGUGAUAUAAGAUACACUUGUAAAUUAAGCUUAAAACAAGCUUUAUGUGGCACUGUCAUUGAAGUUCCUACGCUUACCGGCGAAAAAAUCAACUUAAAUUUGACAAGAGAAAUUGUUAAACCUAAUUUGGUCAAGAGGAUUCCAAAUCAUGGCCUACCAUUCCCAAAAGAACCACCAAGGAAAGGUGAUCUUUUGGUUUCAUUCGACAUCAAAUUCCCCGAUGCAUUAACGCAAGAUACAAAGGACAUACUGUAUGAUACUCUGCCAAAUUGAGAACACAAAAUUGAAGGAAAAAAAGAAAGGAUAAUUGUCAUCACAACGACAGUCCUCUAAUCGUCCCAAUUGACGAGACUAAACACUCGUGUACGUUCUAGUACAUAAAGCGUGGUUAGAGAGCUGUGAAAAAAUAUUUGUUGAGGCGAAGCAAAUAAUAAUUUUAUCUCAUAGCUAGGAAAAUGUGAUUUUUCCAUUAGUCAAGUGUAAAAGAAAGUCAGUUUUUUGAUUCGGAUUUAGACAGGCUUAUUUUCGUUAGAAUUCGGAACGAAAGAAAAGAUGGAGGAUAUGUUGCUUUGGUAGUACAGUGAAAUGUACUUUGCCUUUACAUGCGGGAAGAAAGAUCCUAAAUAGUGAUUAAAAACGAAUAUAUUACACUAAGUUAUAUGAUUUAACAGAGAGAGAGUCUGUUACAGUGCAACUCUGUAUGAAUGCGAUCUGAUUAAUUUUGUUCAUUCUGUACAUUCAGAGUAUGUAUUAUGAUAUAUGCAUCUUGGGUGAAUGAGUGUGUAUUUGUGCGUGUGUGCAUAGUCUGUAAGUAUUGCUCUAUGGCGCGGAUUUGUAUGAACGGUAGUUUCGUGGAAGUAUGACAAAUUGAGCCACCAUCAUUGUGUUCAAAUCGUCAUGUUUCUUCCCUCUUUUCUAUUUUAUUUCAUUAUUCAUGUAUCAUGAUUUAAUUCGUUUUUGUUCUCAAUGAAACGUGUAUACGCAGUAAGAAGCUAGACGAGUAUAUUUAAAAGCGUUAAAAAGAAUUACGACUUUACUUGUUUUUCUUUACACGCUCGCAGUGAUCAGUGGAACAUUUUGUCAUAUGGAAGCAGAUGUGCCUGUAAACGACUAUUUGUAAUAUCGAGCUGAUUGUUUUCUUAUGUAACGCGACUUCUUAAUUUUAAUGGUUGGUUAAUUAUUUGUACGCUAAAAUAAUAUCGAUACAAUUAAGUGACACGAUUUUGUAUUUUUAUUGGAUCCUUUUGUCUCAUGAUUCGCUCCUACGCUGGAUAUAACAUCGGGACACUCCUAAAAUAGACAGCGAAGUAGGUGACGUCAUCGUCCUAUCUCCCGAGAUACUUUCACACAAGUGCGUGGCGAAACAGUAGAAUUUCAGUGUAAAUACGUACGCGUACUGCACACAAACGUUGUCUAUUUCGAUAACCGGUGGAUUUGA
Molecule: unclassified non-coding RNA, 2422 nt
Filed under: Habropoda laboriosa
Lineage: Eukaryota; Metazoa; Arthropoda; Insecta; Hymenoptera; Apidae
Description: dnaJ protein homolog 1-like, transcript variant X2
Source: RNAcentral